AAUAAAAUAACCCAUAUGAUAAAUCAACGUUAACCACUCUAAGAAUAUCAAAAUAUAAUCAUGUUCUUGGGAUCAACCCCAGAACAAGGGUGUUUAGCUACUCAUGUUCUAAAUCAACAUCACGGAAAUAUAAUUAAUCAUACCAAAAAUUAAUGUUGAAAUAUGAAAUGUUCAAAGAACCCUAAGAGAAGUAUUGUAAUUUCCUUUGCCUCUGCUGUACGUUUGCCAAAAGUGUCCCCAUUUGAUUUUAAGUGUUACUUUUAUGGUAGGACAAAAUUGAAUAAAAGUUGACCGUCACCGCACCACGGAGCUCAUUGCGUGCACUAGGGUCCGCACCGUGGACCCUCACUAGAAUAUGGCAUGAGAAAUAAUUCAGCCUCCACGAUACGAGGCUAUCACGGAGGCUUACUGGAAAUUGCUGUCGACUAAUAAUCCCUUAGAGUGAUAAGUACCCUAUCAUAGGGACUAAGGUACACAAAGCAGAGGCCAUUGUCCUUCCUUUCCGGCUCUUUGCCUCUUUCCUUGAUCCUGUCUUUAGUUCCAUGCUUUCCGAGCCCAUUUCCAGUAUCCUCAUGCUCAACAAAUCAGUCCCACUGCUUCCACCCACCAUUAGCUUCUCGUUAAUGCUUCCAAUUAUGUUCAAUUUCAUCAAAAUUUUGGCCUGCAUCAACAAAUCAUGUCCAUCAGAUAAAGAAUACAAUUAUAGGCUCAACACAAUACAAUGAACACAUUUUAGCUCAUAGAAAAAAUAUAACUAUGGGUAAAUAUUAGCAAUUGGAUGUAUAAAUAUGCCCAAGAUCAGAUGACGUCCACAAGAAGCCUUUGAUCCAUUAUGUCGGUCUCAGUUUCAUUAUGGCAACAGAAGGUACAGAUCAAAUAGCAACACAUGAUAGAGUAAACUAAUGAACAAACUUGUAAUGGAACAUUUGCAGUUAAAACUCAAUAGGAAAAGCUUGCUGGUACCGCUUAUCAGUUUCUAGUUGAUUAGAAUUAUAGAAACUCUUACUGUUUAUCAUGUACAUAUCUGUGCAUUGCACAUAUCUCUUUUUGGGAAUCUUUAGAUUACCUAGUUUUGCUUUAGAAAUAGAAAGCCGAAUUUCUUCUUACAGCCAAAGCUAUCACUUUUUCUUGGUUUGUGCAGCUUUUCUUGGUCACCAAAAAGGCUUGAUGCUCUUAUUAUUCCAGAUAAUGAUCAUAAUUUAUUUAUGUUUAUUGUUAAAUAACUAAGUUUGACUGAACCCAUAACAUAAACACUUAUCCAACUCCAAUGAAUAGUAAUUGUGGUGUGUGGCCAACCUACGCACACAACGAUUAAUUUUACGGACUACCUACUAUAAAUAUUGUGUAACGUUGUCCCCAAGACUGCUCGAGCCAUACAAACAUUAUAAACACAAAAUUACUAAGAUCAAUAUGAAAAUAAUUGUCUUUAUUGGAUACAGGUCACACAGAAGAUGAACUUGAUAACACACUACAUCUACACAGAAAGUCUAAUAUUGCAGGAUACAAGGAAAAUACUACCUGCUGACAGGCCAUAUUAUACAAAACUCCUACAGCUAAAUGCAGAUAAUAGAAGCAAAAAUAUUAAAAUGCCUUAUGGUUAAACAGAACCAAGAUUUCAAAUGGCAAACUUACAGAUAGAAAUAAGUCUUUCCACUUACAUACAAUUCCUGCUCUUAGACGACAUUUCUUAGUGAUAAUCGUAUAAGGAAAAAAAGUUCACCUUUGAAACUACAAAAGCUAAAGUUCAGACAUAAUUACACAGAAAAGUAAAGGAAUUAAAGCUUGAAGAUUGAACUUUUUGGCAAAAAUCUGUAUCAUAAACGUCACAACCAUUUCAACUUUUUGAUGAAAAUCUUUAACGCAGUCGAAAAAAAUAGGCCAGACCCAUAGUGUUCACAACCAUAAGCACAUAAACAAGUAAAAUUUGUUGCUGAAAUUAUCAGAUGGAAAAGCAUAUACCAUCAUAUAGAACACAUAGGUAACAGAUCAACAGUGAAAACUGAAACUAAUUAUCGAUUUUCAUAGAAGAGAUGAUAAAGAGGAAUUUCAUCGAAUACCUAAUGCACAUAAUGAAAGUUGAAACUUAACAAAUCAGUCAUCCAAAUCAAAAGAAUGUCCGGGAAAAAGUAAGGACACCGACAAACAAAAAUUGAAUCUUUAACACCUAAUAUCAAAAACUAUGAAAACAAACAUUGAAGCUUUAAAAUGAUACAUCAACAAACUAUGAAAACAAGCACAGGCCCACAAACCAGAAUUCUUCAAAAACUCAUACACAUUGAAUUCUUUAACUUAAAACUAUAAAAUAUUUCACAUGCAAGAACUUAAGAUGUCAAAUUUACCAAAAGAUGAAGGACCAAAUCCCACUCAAACAAAUCUAAAAAUCUAGCAAAAAUAUAAACUUCACUCAAAUAAAUCUAAAAGUCAAACAAAAAUAUAAACACGAAGAGGAAACCAGAAGAAAAAAUAUGAAUCUUUACAUAUUCUUAAACCAAAUGAAGAGAUAUGGAGUAAUAAAAUAGAAUCAUUUCAAAGUUGAAGGAAAAAUUGAAACCUUAAAAUUGCAAUAACAGUUUAUCCGUAUCUAAAAUGAAAUUUCACAAAGUGACAUAACAGUAACAACCAUGAACACUCACCCGAGGAGAACAAGGAGCUAAGGGGUGAAGAAAAUUAUUAGAUUGAAAAUUCCUUUUUGUGUUCAUCUGUAACUCUGUUCAUGCUUACCUGUGUAGUUGGCAGUAUAUCAGUAAAACACAUAUAAAACUCACAGUAAAAAUAUGUAUAAAACUCACAAAAAUUGAGGAAAAUAGCCCUUGGGCGGCAAGCUGACGCUCAGCUGCUACCUAAGGUGCUUCUAUAUAUUAUUAAUUAAUUAAUUAAUUAAUAUAAUAUUAAUUAUAUUAAAAUAUGGGUUGAAUUCUGGCAUCCAGCUAUACUGGAAUAUAUAUCUAGUCAACGCCC
Molecule: long non-coding RNA, 2958 nt
Filed under: Capsicum annuum
Lineage: Eukaryota; Viridiplantae; Streptophyta; Magnoliopsida; Solanales; Solanaceae
Description: long non-coding RNA (CANN_LNC010233)
Source: RNAcentral